UACGUAGGGGGCGAGCGUUGUCCGGAUUUAUUGGGCGUAAAGAGCUCGUAGGCGGCUUGUCGCGUCGACUGUGAAAUCCCGCGGCUCAACUGCGGGUCUGCAGUCGAUACGGGCAGGCUAGAGUUCGGUAGGGGAGACUGGAAUUCCUGGUGUAGCGGUGAAAUGCGCAGAUAUCAGGAGGAACACCGAUGGCGAAGGCAGGUCUCUGGGCCGAUACUGACGCUGAGGAGCGAAAGCGUGGGGAGCGAACAGG
This 253-nucleotide ribosomal RNA is filed under the name uncultured bacterium. Its description in RNAcentral is "partial 16S ribosomal RNA". It matches the Rfam family "Bacterial small subunit ribosomal RNA", at positions 524 to 776 of the family's 1533-position model. The record is from RNAcentral.